GAAAAAAAAAUCAAAGAGCAACGCUAGAGAAUGAAUAGGUUUGAGAGUGAGUAGUAACUUCUCCCGCUAGGGAAAAGUAAUUUCAUUAAUGUUGUAUUAGAUAAGUAUUUAAUAGUUUGUAUGUAAAAUUAUUAAUAUGAAAUAAAAAGUGAGUUUUUAUAUCAUUCUUCUUAAAACUCCAUAGAUAGUCGAAAGUGAAGGUUGCGAUCUUCAGCCUUAAGGAGGAAUAGUAACAAAGUAGCCAAAGACUGCGGUCGCUAGGGCGAAACACUGUUCAUGGCCUGAAAGGAGAAAUACUGCGGUAUUGAUAGAGACUAUUUAUCGACAAAAGAGAAGAAAGAAACUAUCAAUUUGGUCGUGAGUGAUUAUGGGGUCGAGGUUUUGUUAGUGAAUUUGAGUAGCUUGCGUAAGAUCAACAGGGUCGAGGUCUUGGGAAUCAUCAGCUUAGUGAUAGGAAGUCCUAAACCUCAUUGCACUUAAAUAUGUAAAGAAGGAGGAAGUAAUUGAAGAUCCUUUAAGUAUAUAUCUAGUAUUUCUUGUACAACUGCCUUAUGAUUCUUUUUGAUUAAAAUGUCUAUUCUGCCACUGCUCUGAGGUGUAAAUUUAUUGUAUGAUCGGUGAUUUUAUGAUUCUAACUUUAAUUGGAAGCGUUUAAGAGAUUUCUUGGUGUUAAUUCCUUCAUACGAGAAUGUCUUUGUGAGUAAUAGACUCGUAAAAAAUGAUUAACUGUCUCUCUACCUUUGCAAGGAAUUGAGAUGGAGGAUUUUCCUUUUAUUAUCCUAAAAGGAAUCCUCUAUAUAACAGUCUCUCUAUACAAUUCAUACUUUUUCCUACAAUUCAAGCAUACCUUUUUGCAUUUAAGGGCCAUGCUCUGACCCGCUAGUUUUUGCUAGCAUCAUCAUAUGAAGUUUUUUCAUUAAAUAUUUGAGUUUUACCAGUUACAUCUUGUGCAAAUUUGUGUUAUAAAUUCAUAACCGACCCUGCUAAAGCCCCCAUAUCAUUAUCCUACUCUUUUUUCCUCCUCCUUUUCUCUUUCUUUUUAUUCAUAAACAUAGUAUGGUGUAGGAUUUAUUCUUCAAAUCUACUGACUUUAUUCUUUUGUUUAUCCACAUUGAACCUCUUGUUCUUAGUGGAUGAUAUUUUAAAACAAAAUUAGUAUAUCACGAGGAGAUCAUAUGUUGAAUUAGAGGGAUUUUAGCAGAUUUAAGGUGAAUUUAGUUGAAUUAUUAAAGAAAAAAUGCAAGUUUGAAUAUGAAUAAUUUAAAUUGUUCAGCACGACUUUAUGAACAACCAACUUGUGUUCAGGAAUUCAAAUAUAGACUUGCACUCAUGUAUUUAGAAAUCAAGAACAACAGCAACGAUGUUUCCAAGUAUCACAACUGCCGCGAGUGAAGAAGAUAUAAACCCAAUGCCCAAAACUCCCUUGUUUUUUUUAAUGUUUUAUACUCUUUUGUUCUUGUUUUUCAUGGUAUCUAAUGCUCUCUAUCCAAAUUUGGAGAGCGAGUGUAUCUGAAAGUUUAUAUCUAAAUGAACUUCCUCAAUUUGAAUGUUUUUAUCAAAAAAAUAUCUAUGUGUUAUAUCAAGUAAUCUAGUUAAUAUUUAUGCCUA
Solanum pennellii is the source of this 1608-nucleotide long non-coding RNA. RefSeq lists it as uncharacterized. The transcript is spliced from 2 exons. The record is from RefSeq and is a predicted model, not a curated record. NCBI's taxonomy places the organism in Eukaryota, Viridiplantae, Streptophyta, Magnoliopsida, Solanales, Solanaceae.